This is a long non-coding RNA of Cyprinus carpio carpio, 338 nucleotides long. NCBI's taxonomy places the organism in Eukaryota, Metazoa, Chordata, Actinopteri, Cypriniformes, Cyprinidae. The record is from Ensembl.
AUGAACGUUACUGUUCACUACUAAUAUUUGCUUAUGUUGCAGAUCUCAAAUCAUAUACAAAACCUUUGGUACAGGUUAAACAUACAUACAUGGAAUGACAUGAGGAUGUGCACUGGCCCCCUCCUGCUUGUCAUAUUGCCAACUAGAGGCAUCAGCCUCACUGUGGAUCUGUCAUGCUGUCACUGCAGAGGUUCAAUUAAAAUCCAGGUUAAGAUUUUUUUCCCAUGCUGGAAAACCGUUCCUUUCAAUUAGACGAUGAUGCAAGAUGGCGAGCCAACCCACACGAGACGAAUGCUGACUGAGGUGAAACAGUCAAACUAACCCAGGAACCAGGUAGG